Molecule: long non-coding RNA, 528 nt
Filed under: Neodiprion pinetum (white pine sawfly)
Lineage: Eukaryota; Metazoa; Arthropoda; Insecta; Hymenoptera; Diprionidae
Description: uncharacterized LOC124223049
Source: RNAcentral
AGAGGAGCCAAACAAACCUACCUCAGCCUUACAACUGAACACAGAGAGCACGUUGCAACCGAGGGUUCAACGUCUGAAUCGACCUCGUUAACGAGUUGCGUCUUUCAGGACAACAGUUAGGUUUGCAAAUAACAGAACUGAGAGGACAUAGGGUGACGUAGGACGGCUGCAAAGGUUGUUGUCAAUUUUGGCAAACAGCACGGAAUCCUGAUCCUAUUCACCGAUCGAUGCGACGAUAAAUUUUUAUCAAACGUCACUCACCUGUCUGGCCAAGGGCAAGAAAGAAUUCGGCAUACGGCGAGGGCUGCGGCAGCCAGUAUGCUGGCCGCCAGGGCUGCGUAAACGAUGCAAAGGUGAACCAGCGAGAAGAUGUAAAGAGACUUGUCACACCAACGGUUCGGCUCAAACAAGUUGCCGGAGAGCAUCUUUGCAGAUAAUUUCGUCCACCGGGGGAGUCGGUCAUCCGGUCAAGGAAUUGUUAUCAAUCGAUCUGUCUCACACGCGUGUCCGUGGACUGUAAAGGAGCCA